GAUGAAGAACGUAGCAAAAUGCGAUAAGUAAUGUGAAUUGCAGAAUUCAGUGAAUCAUCGAAUCUUUGAACGCACAUUGCGCCCGCUGGUAUUCCGGCGGGCAUGCCUGUUCGAGCGUCAUUUCAACCCUCAAGCCCCCGGGUUUGGUGUUGGGGAUCGGCUCUGCCCUUCUGGGCGGUGCCGCCCCCGAAAUACAUUGGCGGUCUCGCUGCAGCCUCCAUUGCGUAGUAGCUAACACCUCGCAACUGGAACGCGGCGCGGCCAUGCCGUAAAACCCCAACUUCUGAAUGUUGACCUCGGAUCAGGUAGGAAUACCUGCUGAACUUAAGCAUAUCAAUAAGCGGAGGA
This 348-nucleotide unclassified non-coding RNA is filed under the name soil metagenome. RNAcentral describes it as "partial contains 5.8S ribosomal RNA, internal transcribed spacer 2, and large subunit ribosomal RNA". The stretch from base 1 to 120 matches the Rfam family "5.8S ribosomal RNA", at positions 35 to 154 of the family's 154-position model. The record is from RNAcentral.